GGCGGCGUGCUUAACACAUGCAAGUCGAACGGGAAAUAUUUCAUUGAGACUUCGGUGGAUUUGAUCUAUUUCUAGUGGCGGACGGGUGAGUAACGCGUGGGUAACCUGCCUUAUACAGGGGGAUAACAGUCAGAAAUGACUGCUAAUACCGCAUAAGCGCACAGGACCGCAUGGUCCGGUGUGAAAAACUCCGGUGGUAUAAGAUGGACCCGCGUUGGAUUAGCUUGUUGGUGGGGUAACGGCCCACCAAGGCGACGAUCCAUAGCCGGCCUGAGAGGGUGAACGGCCACAUUGGGACUGAGACACGGCCCAGACUCCUACGGGAGGCAGCAGUGGGGAAUAUUGCACAAUGGGGGAAACCCUGAUGCAGCGACGCCGCGUGAAGGAAGAAGUAUCUCGGUAUGUAAACUUCUAUCAGCAGGGAAGAUAGUGACGGUACCUGACUAAGAAGCCCCGGCUAACUACGUGCCAGCAGCCGCGGUAAUACGUAGGGGGCAAGCGUUAUCCGGAUUUACUGGGUGUAAAGGGAGCGUAGACGGUGUGGCAAGUCUGAUGUGAAAGGCAUGGGCUCAACCUGUGGACUGCAUUGGAAACUGUCAUACUUGAGUGCCGGAGGGGUAAGCGGAAUUCCUAGUGUAGCGGUGAAAUGCGUAGAUAUUAGGAGGAACACCAGUGGCGAAGGCGGCUUACUGGACGGUAACUGAACGUUGAGGCUCGAAAGCGUGGGGAGCAAACAGG
Molecule: ribosomal RNA, 738 nt
Filed under: uncultured Lachnospiraceae bacterium
Lineage: Bacteria; Bacillati; Bacillota; Clostridia; Lachnospirales; Lachnospiraceae
Description: bacterial SSU rRNA
Rfam family: Bacterial small subunit ribosomal RNA
Source: RNAcentral